AGCAUAUCAAUAAGCGGAGGAAAAGAAACCAACAGGGAUUGCCCCAGUAACGGCGAGUGAAGCGGCAACAGCUCAAAUUUGAAAUCUGGCCCUCGGGUCCGAGUUGUAAUUUGUAGAGGAUGCUUUUGGCGAGGUGCCUUCCGAGUUCCCUGGAACGGGACGCCAUAGAGGGUGAGAGCCCCGUCUGGUCGGACACCGAGCCUCUGUAAAGCUCCUUCGACGAGUCGAGUAGUUUGGGAAUGCUGCUCAAAAUGGGAGGUAUAUGUCUUCUAAAGCUAAAUAUUGGCCAGAGACCGAUAGCGCACAAGUAGAGUGAUCGAAAGAUGAAAAGCACUUUGAAAAGAGGGUUAAAAAGUACGUGAAAUUGUUGAAAGGGAAGCGCCUAUGACCAGACUUGAGCCCGGUGAAUCAUCCAGCGUUCUCGCUGGUGCACUUUGCCGGGCCCAGGCCAGCAUCAGUUUGGCGCGGGGGAUAAAGGUGACGGGAAUGUGGCUCCCUCGGGAGUGUUAUAGCCCGCUACGUAAUACCCUGCGCCGGACUGAGGUACGCGCAUUGCAAGGAUGCUGGCGUAAUGGUCAUCAGCGACCCGUCUUGAA
RNAcentral lists this ribosomal RNA (596 nucleotides) under Cordyceps fumosorosea. RNAcentral describes it as "partial large subunit ribosomal RNA". It matches the Rfam family "Eukaryotic large subunit ribosomal RNA", at positions 37 to 658 of the family's 3401-position model. Lineage: Eukaryota; Fungi; Ascomycota; Sordariomycetes; Hypocreales; Cordycipitaceae. The record is from RNAcentral.